CACGUAGGGCGCAAGCGUUGUCCGGAAUUAUUGGGCGUAAAGAGCUCGUAGGCGGUGUGUCACGUCGGCCGUGAAAACCUGCAGCUUAACUGUGGGCGUGCGGUCGAUACGGGCAUCACUGGAGUUCGGCAGGGGAGACUGGAAUUCCUGGUGUAGCGGUGAAAUGCGCAGAUAUCAGGAGGAACACCGGUGGCGAAGGCGGGUCUCUGGGCCGAUACUGACGCUGAGGAGCGAAAGUGUGGGGAGCGAACAGG
RNAcentral lists this ribosomal RNA (254 nucleotides) under uncultured bacterium. RNAcentral describes it as "partial 16S ribosomal RNA". It matches the Rfam family "Bacterial small subunit ribosomal RNA", at positions 524 to 776 of the family's 1533-position model. The record is from RNAcentral.